AGAUUGAACGCUGGCGGCAUGCUUUACACAUGCAAGUCGAACGGCAGCACGGGGGCAACCCUGGUGGCGAGUGGCGAACGGGUGAGUAAUGCAUCGGAACGUAUCCUUAAGUGGGGGAUAACGCAUCGAAAGAUGCGCUAAUACCGCAUAAUCUCUGAGGAGAAAAGCAGGGGAUCGCAAGACCUUGCGCUUUUUGGAGCGGCCGAUGUCUGAUUAGCUAGUUGGUGAGGUAAAGGCUUACCAAGGCUUCGAUCAGUAGCUGUCUGAGAGACGACCAGCCACACUGGACUGAGACACGGCCCAGACUCCGUACGGGAGCAGCAGGUGGGGAAUUUUGGACAAGUGGGGGCAACCCGUGACUCACGCCAUGCCGCGUGAGCGAAGAGCGUUAGGUGUAAG
Molecule: ribosomal RNA, 399 nt
Filed under: uncultured soil bacterium
Lineage: Bacteria
Description: bacterial SSU rRNA
Rfam family: Bacterial small subunit ribosomal RNA
Source: RNAcentral